RNAcentral lists this ribosomal RNA (465 nucleotides) under uncultured Exiguobacterium sp. Its description in RNAcentral is "bacterial SSU rRNA". It matches the Rfam family "Bacterial small subunit ribosomal RNA", at positions 338 to 795 of the family's 1533-position model. The record is from RNAcentral. Lineage: Bacteria; Bacillati; Bacillota; Bacilli; Caryophanales.
CCUACGGGUGGCAGCAGUAGGGAAUCUUCCACAAUGGACGAAAGUCUGAUGGAGCAACGCCGCGUGAGUGAUGAAGGUUUUCGGAUCGUAAAACUCUGUUGUAAGGGAAGAACAAGUACGAGAGGUAAUGCUCGUACCUUGACGGUACCUUGCGAGAAAGCCACGGCUAACUACGUGCCAGCAGCCGCGGUAAUACGUAGGUGGCAAGCGUUGUCCGGAAUUAUUGGGCGUAAAGCGCGCGCAGGCGGCCUUUUAAGUCUGAUGUGAAAGCCCCCGGCUCAACCGGGGAGGGUCAUUGGAAACUGGAAGGCUUGAGUACAGAAGAGAAGAGUGGAAUUCCAUGUGUAGCGGUGAAAUGCGUAGAGAUGUGGAGGAACACCAGUGGCGAAGGCGACUCUUUGGUCUGUAACUGACGCUGAGGCGCGAAAGCGUGGGGAGCAAACAGGAUUAGAUACCCUUGUAGUC